AACUAAAUGUGCACGCAAAUAAAAGCAGCGUAGGCUUAGAAGCAGUCAUCGACUAGAAAGCGUAGUAGCUCUGCUUUUUAGUGUAACAUUACACUACACGCAGAAAAUAAAAGCCGAAGCUCGCUUGUUAAUACAGUUAAAUAU
RNAcentral lists this ribosomal RNA (144 nucleotides) under Polytomella magna. RNAcentral describes it as "large subunit ribosomal RNA". The record is from RNAcentral. Lineage: Eukaryota; Viridiplantae; Chlorophyta; Chlorophyceae; Chlamydomonadales; Chlamydomonadaceae.